GCAACGCCGUGAGGGAGAGGUACAGCUCCAACACGCAACAUUAGCUGAAGAGAUGGCGACAGCUGCUCCUGACUGGAAGAGGUGGCGAGACAGGAGGAAAAAAAAAAAAAAUGGAUUUUCCCCGAAAUGUUUGGUGCCAAUCGUUCACUGUAAGUGAGGGUGAUUAACGCUAAUGAUUUACCCGCAGGAAAAGCGGAAUCGCUGAGUGCUGCCUGGAACAGAGCCAGGGAAAUGUUCCCAACACGGACACCACCAUCUAGCGGCACAAGGAAACCUCCAGGGAUUCCCGGAGAGGGGCUUUUAUUGCAGAGAUCUGCCUCAAAAAAUCCGCGUUCCUCCAGGGAUAUGUAGCUGGCCAGGAUAAUAAUAAAAUAAAAUAAAAUAAAAAAUAAAAUAAAAUAAAAUAAAAUAAAAUA
Molecule: long non-coding RNA, 416 nt
Organism: Cinclus cinclus
Lineage: Eukaryota; Metazoa; Chordata; Aves; Passeriformes; Cinclidae
Exons: 2
Source: RefSeq, a predicted model, not a curated record